AGUUAAAACUCACCAAGAAGAAUUUUUGGGGGGUCAGUUACUAACACAUUCCUAGAUCUCACAAUUUCCAGAAAUCCAGGCUUUUUAGUCAUUGUGUUGCUUUUUUUUUCUAUCUCGAGAAAAAUCCCAUUUGUUUUUUGAUAAGCUCAAAAUAUUGCCCAUUUUAGCAUAAUUGAGUAAAAGAAAGAAACUUAUCAUUUGGGCGUUUGAGGUUUUCAAUCUUGAAAACAAAAAGUUUAUCAUGUUCUUGUGGAGAGGUUGAAACUGGAAAAAAGGGCAUUUCUUGUUAUGGUAAAUGAGGAUUGGUUUGGCUUGCUAUGGAUGAAGCAAUGUUGAAGAGGUGAAUUAAGUGAAGAAUGGUUUUUUAUUGUUAAAAAAAGUUACUUUGUUGAGAAGUUGAGAUUGUAGAAAUCUGGUAGAUUAUGGAAAGAAUGUUGUAUCUGGUUUGGAAUGUGGGGCUGUUACUGGUUUGUACAUUGCUGGAGAGUUCUUCUGCUACACUUUCACCUGCUGGUAUAAACUAUGAAGUUGUUGCGUUGACGGAAAUUAAGAAGGCGUUACAUGACCCCUAUAAUGUUCUGGACAAUUGGGAUGUGAAUUCUGUAGACCCAUGCAGUUGGAGAAUGGUGACUUGUUCCUUUGAUGGCUAUGUGUCUGCUCUAGCACUACCUAGUCAAAGUCUAUCUGGCACCUUAUCGCCUGGAAUUGGCAAUCUCACUAACUUGCAAUCUGUAUUGUUGCAAAACAAUGCCAUUUCUGGUCAUAUUCCUGAUGUGAUCGGGAAGUUACAAAAGCUUCAGACAAUUGAUCUCUCCGACAAUAAAUUCGAAGGCGAAAUACCCACUUCCUUUGGAGACCUGAUGAAUUUGAAUUAUUUGGAUGUCUCUUAUAAUAAUCUAAGUGGUACCCUUCCUAAAAUAUCAGCAAGAGCUUUCAGAGUGCUCGGGAAUCCUUUAAUUUGUGGUCAAGGUUCUGAGAAUAAUUGUUCAGCAGUCUAUCCAGAACCACUGUCCUUCCCACCAGAUAGUCUGACUGAUCAACCAGGUGCUGCACGCAAGAGCCGUCGCGUGGUUGUUGCAUUUGUUGCAAGUUUUGGUGCUGCUUUCCUGGUCAUAGUAGCCAUGGCUUUGCUUCUUUGGUGGCGCUACAGACAUAAUCAGCAGAUCUUCUUUGAUGUCAACGAGCAUUGUUAUCCAGAGGUAUGCUUGGGUCACCUGAAAAGGUACGCCUUUAAGGAACUGCGGACUGCCACUGACCAUUUCAGCUCAAAACGUAUUUUGGGAAAAGGAGGAUUUGGUGUUGUGUAUAAGGCCUGCUUAAACAAUGGAACUGUUGUGGCCGUCAAAAGAUUGAAUGACUACAAUGCUGUCGGUGGUGAAAACCAAUUUCAGACAGAAGUAGAGUUGAUUAGCUUGGCUGUCCAUCGGAAUCUUCUCCGUCUUUUGGGGUUUUGUUCAACUGAAAGUGAACGACUUCUUGUUUACCCCUAUAUGCCAAAUGGAAGUGUAGCAUCACGAUUAAAAGAUAGCAUAUAUGGUAAACCAGUUUUAGAUUGGUCAAGGAGGAAAAAGAUAGCCCAAGGUACAGCUCGAGGGCUAGUUUAUUUGCAUGAGCAGUGUGAUCCCAGAAUUAUCCAUCGUGAUGUCAAAGCAGCCAACAUUUUGUUGGAUGAGGAAUUUGAGGCAGUAGUUGGUGAUUUUGGGUUGGCAAAGCUAUUGGAUCACCGAGAUUCUCAUGUGACAACUGCUGUUAGGGGAACCAUUGGCCACAUUGCUCCAGAAUAUUUGUCAACUGGCCAAUCGUCUGAAAAAACUGAUGUUUUUGGGUUUGGGAUCUUGCUACUUGAGCUGAUUACAGGCCAGAAAGCUAUGGAUUUUGGUCGAGGGGCCAACCAGAAAGGUGUUGUUAUGCUUGAUUGGGUGAGAAAGCUGCAUCAAGAGGGGAAAUUGAACCUUAUGGUAGAUAAAGAUUUGAAAAAUAACUUUGACCGGAUUGAGCUAGAAGAAAUGGUUAAAGUUGUCCUUCUAUGUACCCAUUUCAACCCUUCUCAUCGCCCAAAAAUGUCCGAAGCAUUAAGGAUGUUGGAGGGCGAUGGAUUGGCUGAAAAAUGGGAGGCAUCACAAAAGCUUGAGACUCCAAGAAACCGAGCUUUUGAACAUACUCCACAAAGAUAUUCUAACUAUGAAGAAGAAUCAUCACUAGUUGAACCAAUGGAGCUUUCUGGACCUAGAUGACAUCCGUUCUUCGUUCUACGCGAUUCUUAUCAUCCGUGAGUUGCCAAAGUUGAGGUAUAGGCAGACGAGACGAGGACCCUCCAUAGUAGUCUGCCUCCAGAUUUACAGGCUCAGAAGGUAGACUUUGAGUGGCUAAGUAUGCAGCAAGGUGAGAUAUGCUGAUGAUGUUUGAUCCAUAAUGGUGAUAGGAGGUAUAACGACCUUACGUCACUCUGAUGAAUUCAGAAAUGUGUUCUCAAGGAAUGUUUUGUAAGACAUGAAUAGUAUGCUAGUUGUAAGACCCCCUAAUGAGGUACUUAAUGCUAGAAGAGAAGCUUAUGAUGUAUCCAGGAAUUGGUUAAGGUUUAGUUAGUCGGGAAUAAGUCUUACUGGCCUAGAAAUGUGCUUAUAAGUCUUAUGUAAUCAUGUAGGCAUUAACAGAUAAGUGAUGAUCAUAAAGAG
Lycium barbarum (goji berry) is the source of this 2675-nucleotide RNA transcript. It is a transcript of the gene named protein NSP-INTERACTING KINASE 3-like, with no coding region annotated. The transcript is spliced from 13 exons. The record is from RefSeq and is a predicted model, not a curated record. NCBI's taxonomy places the organism in Eukaryota, Viridiplantae, Streptophyta, Magnoliopsida, Solanales, Solanaceae.